CAGUUCGGACUGCAGUCUGCAACUCGACUGCACGAAGCUGGAAUCGCUAGUAAUCGCGGAUCAGCACGCCGCGGUGAAUACGUUCCCGGGCCUUGUACACACCGCCCGUCACACCAUGAGAGUCGGGAACACCCGAAGUCCGUAGCCUAACCGCGAAGGGGGCGCGGCCGAAGGUGGGUUCGAUAAUUGGGGUGAAGUCGUAACAAGGUAGC
RNAcentral lists this ribosomal RNA (212 nucleotides) under uncultured bacterium. RNAcentral's name for it is "partial 16S ribosomal RNA". It matches the Rfam family "Bacterial small subunit ribosomal RNA", at positions 1289 to 1500 of the family's 1533-position model. The record is from RNAcentral.